RNAcentral lists this ribosomal RNA (505 nucleotides) under uncultured bacterium. RNAcentral's name for it is "bacterial SSU rRNA". It matches the Rfam family "Bacterial small subunit ribosomal RNA", at positions 28 to 526 of the family's 1533-position model. The record is from RNAcentral.
GAUGAACGCUGGCGGCAGGCUUAAUACAUGCAAGUCGAACGGUAACAUGUCGGAGCAAUCUGAUGAUGACGAGUGGCGCACGGGUGCGUAACGCGUAUGCAACCUACCUUUAAUUGGAACAUAACGUUGAGAAAUUGGCGCUAAUAUUCCAUGUGAAUAUGAUGUGGCAUCAUAUUAUAUUUAAAGAUUUAUUGAUUAAGGAUGGGCAUGCGUAUCAUUAGCUAGUUGGUGAGGUAACGGCUUACCAAGGCGACGAUGAUUAGGGGUUCUGAGAGGAAGGUCCCCCACACUGGAACUGAGACACGGUCCAGACUCCUACGGGAGGCAGCAGUAGGGAAUAUUGGGCAAUGGAAGCAAUUCUGACCCAGCCAUGCCGCGUGCAGGAAUAAGGUCCUAUGGAUUUUAAACUGCUUUUAUUAUAGAGUAACCGGAGGUACGUGUACCUCCCUGCAAGUAUAUGAUGAAUAAGGACCGGCUAACUCCGUGCCAGCAGCCGCAGUAACAC